GAACAAGUCUGCUCGGCUGCCACCCUCCCGAGAGGGCAGAGCGGGUGGCGCUGGCCCCAGGCCGCCCCGUGUGGGCUUCUCGGCGGCACUGCCUUUGGCAGGCGUCUCAUCCUCGCUCUUUAUCGCCAAGCCCGUGGGGCGAGUGACAGCGGCAUCGCAGCCUGAAUGGGCUUGUCUGACGGGCCAGCUUUCAUCCCGGGCGCUGCUGCCCGCCUGUGAGGGAGGAACUCGGCGCGGAGGGCGGUCAUUUCACACCGAUUCCUCGCUGUCCUGUGCUUUGGGUUCUAACGCGGCGCGUUUCGAUCGCCCACCUCGCUGCGUGCCGUGAGGGAGAAGGCGGGCCUCGCGUGUGGUUAAUAUGUUUGUAAGAGACACCCGCGGAGGCCCCGCUCGGUUCUGAAGCAACAGCGCUCGGAGCUGACCAGCAGGCCAGGAACUCUGCCAGGAACUAAGAUAAGGAUGAUUACAUCUUGUGCCCCAGGCCCUCUAAACGGAUCCCUGCAGGAGGGACAAGAAUUAAUUCAAUUCCAGGCCACAGCCCCGCCCAAUGCUCCACAGGGUGGCAUAACGGGACCAAGUGCCUGACGGGGAGACAGAGGGAAACCAGACAGAUGCGUUCCCACCCCAGCAUGACCGAGUACCAAUGACGGCCCAGGAGCAGGGACAGGGAAGACCAAUGAAGACCACGGCUUUGCGGAUGUGCCAGCAAAGCCGUGGAGGCCAUUGACCCGAUGUGCUAUUCCAUCCAUAACCCU
Molecule: long non-coding RNA, 755 nt
Organism: Myotis myotis
Lineage: Eukaryota; Metazoa; Chordata; Mammalia; Chiroptera; Vespertilionidae
Exons: 3
Source: RefSeq, a predicted model, not a curated record